This 215-nucleotide non-coding RNA is filed under the name Clostridium sulfidigenes. RNAcentral's name for it is "T-box sequence". It matches the Rfam family "T-box leader". Rfam says of the family: Uncharged tRNA acts as the effector for transcription antitermination of genes in the T-box leader family. T-boxes are found upstream of many aminoacyl-tRNA synthetase genes and some amino acid biosynthetic genes usually in Gram-positive bacteria. Lineage: Bacteria; Bacillati; Bacillota; Clostridia; Eubacteriales; Clostridiaceae. The record is from RNAcentral.
AUUUAUACAAUGACGAAGAGAGUAGAUAUAUAUUUUUAUAUAAGGGAUGAAGAGCCAAAGACUGAAAGCUGUUCUUAUAGGAUUAUAUCGAAGUUCACUUCUGAGUACUAAUUAUGAAGUAAUAGUAGUAAUUAGCGGCUAUGGUCGAUAGAUUUACUAAGAGGAGUUUUAAUAAAACUCAAUUAGGGUGGUACCGCGGAUUUUCCGUCCCUUUU